Long non-coding RNA from Lathyrus oleraceus (garden pea), 592 nucleotides. RefSeq lists it as uncharacterized. The record is from RefSeq and is a predicted model, not a curated record. Lineage: Eukaryota; Viridiplantae; Streptophyta; Magnoliopsida; Fabales; Fabaceae. The transcript has 3 exons.
AUCAUGUUGUACAAGUGAGUCACAUCCUCUCUAGCAAAGUCGGUGUCUUUCUCUUUAUGAUGCACUCUUUCAACUAUAUAUUUAUUAUCCGUGUAAACCUUAACCUCUUCAGCUUGCAUGUGUAUCGUGAAGGCCAACGCGUGAAUGAUCGCUUGAGCUUCUGCCUCAACAAGCUUAUUGUACCCCUUCUGCUUCUAAGUAGCUUGAGCAUCAAUCUCUUCCUCUUUGCCACAUAAAUGAGCUCUCAUGUUCCACGCUCCACGUGUGAUCAAGUUAGCACCAAUGUGAAUCACGAUUUUUCUGUCAUUCCAGCGAACGCUAUCUUGCUUCAUCAUCUUGUUCGGUUGCGUCUUCUCAGUCUACUUGAGUUUCAUCGCUGUGAUCGGAUGCGUCCUCCUGGUCUGAUUGAGUGAAAAUGAGUAGAAAGGUUGAUUCUGUUGAAGACAUCAAUGACCCAAAAGAAACUUGGCGUCUUGUUGUUCGAAUAAUGGAUGUUUGGAGUGUUGUGAAUAAUAAGGGUAUCAUACUCAAUUCUAUUUCAUAUAUAUUUUGAGUUUUAUCUUCACUCAGUUCUCUAUUGUAUCAUACUCAG